RNAcentral lists this long non-coding RNA (648 nucleotides) under Homo sapiens (human). RNAcentral's name for it is "novel transcript". Lineage: Eukaryota; Metazoa; Chordata; Mammalia; Primates; Hominidae. The record is from RNAcentral.
AUGACACCUGAACAGGCUGCUUCACAGGAAAGAAAGACAGAUCUUAAGUAACCCUAAACUUGAAAAAUAUGCAGGAAGCAUGUCUGCCAUUUACUCUAGAGGGAGACAUUAUCUGUAUCUUUGAAGACUGUAAGUAAGCCUGUCCUUUGCUCCACGGCUCUGAGAGUCUACCUUCCAACAUUCUUUAAAAGUUUCGGAUUAUGAAAUAAAAUGCUGUUCAUCCACUGAAGAACAGACCCUUGCUUCCUGCACUAUCUUCAAAAGUUUAGGUCGGAGGAGCUUUGGAUGAGGGGCACUGGAUAGCUGGGGAAGACGCAAGAGGGAGAAUUGCUUUACAACCCUUUGGCUAUUGUCACUCCAGUUCCUAGCUUAAAACUGUACGGGACAUUUCCAGUAUAGAGCCUGCUGAGAAUGAACAUGAAAUCAAGGACAUUACCUGAUGAUGGAUUAUGUAGAUGGCGAAGGUGUGGUGGCACGGAGACCUCUUGGUGACCAGGCCGGACACUGAGCAAUCUGUCCAGCAGCUUAUCAGAAGAAGACACAGUCCAAACUUUGUAGGAAAAUACCUGAUUAGAAUCACUCUUCCAGGGGUUAUCUAGUAACAUCUGGCAGCCAGUUCUGUUAUUUAAUAAAUCCUGCUCACUUCGA